ACUCGCAAGAGUCCUAAAGGUCAGUGGAAGACUACCACAUUGAUAGGCUGGAGGUGUAAGCUUAGUAAUAAGUUCAGCUUACCAGUACUAAUAGACCGUGUGCCUUAACCCC
RNAcentral lists this ribosomal RNA (112 nucleotides) under Nitrospirota bacterium. RNAcentral's name for it is "Bacterial large subunit ribosomal RNA". It matches the Rfam family "Bacterial large subunit ribosomal RNA", at positions 2810 to 2925 of the family's 2925-position model. The record is from Rfam by way of RNAcentral. Lineage: Bacteria; Pseudomonadati; Nitrospirota.